UCUGCUCAAUGUGUGUUUCAUUAAUAGCUGCAUCAUAUGUACUAAGGUAGCAUAAUAAUUUGCCUUUUAAUUGAAGGAUUGUAUGAAGGAAUAAACAAGAAAUUAACUGUCUCUUUUUUAGACUUAAAAAUUAAUUUAUAAGUGAAAAAGCUUAUUUUUAAUAAAUAGACAAGAAGACCCUGUUGAGCUUUUUCUAUUAAUUAAUAUAUAGAUUUUGUUGGGGCAACACUUAAUUUAAAAACCAUUUUUUAUAAUUCAGAAUAUAAUCUUAUUAUUUAUCUUAUUUUAUAAAAUUUUAAUAAGUUACCACAGGGAUAACAGGCUAAUUUUCUUUUAGAGUUCAAAUUAACAAGAAAGUUUGGCACCUCGAUGUUGGCUUAAGGUAUCAAUUAAUUGUAGCAAAUUAAUUAGUUGGUUUG
Molecule: ribosomal RNA, 419 nt
Filed under: Hypomyzostoma sp. 1 DL-2005
Lineage: Eukaryota; Metazoa; Annelida; Myzostomida; Myzostomatidae
Description: partial 16S ribosomal RNA
Rfam family: Bacterial large subunit ribosomal RNA
Source: RNAcentral